Molecule: ribosomal RNA, 378 nt
Filed under: uncultured organism
Description: partial 16S ribosomal RNA
Rfam family: Bacterial small subunit ribosomal RNA
Source: RNAcentral
GUAGGUGGCAAGCGUUGUCCGGGAAUUAUUGGGCGUAAAGCGCGCGCAGGCGGUUCGUUUAAGUCUGGAUCGUGAAAGCCCACGGGCUCAACCGUGGAGGGUCAUUGGAAACUGGAGAACUUGAGUACAGAAGAGGAAAGCGGAAUUCCACGUGUAGCGGUGAAAUGCGUAGAGAUGUGGAGGAACACCAGUGGCGAAGGCGGCGUUUCUGGUCUGUAACUGACGCUGAGGCGCGAAAGCGUGGGGAGCAAACAGGAUUAGAUACCCUGGUAGUCCACGCCGUAAACGAUGAGUGCUAAGUGUUAGGGGGUUUCCGCCCCUUAGUGCUGCAGCUAACGCAUUAAGCACUCCGCCUGGGGAGUACGGCCGCAAAGGCUG